RNAcentral lists this long non-coding RNA (1285 nucleotides) under Crocodylus porosus (Australian saltwater crocodile). Its description in RNAcentral is "lncRNA (ENSCPRG00005011227.1)". The record is from RNAcentral. Lineage: Eukaryota; Metazoa; Chordata; Crocodylia; Crocodylidae.
GAGAAUAGUAUGUGUGUGUUGUAAAUAUGAUCUAAAAGAACUUUGAGAAUCCAAAAUGCAGUUUAGAAGAUGCAGUGCACUGUAAUUAGGGGUUUCAACUACGUUAUUGACCAAGCCUUACAUGGGACCCAUAUAAGCACUUGGAGUUAAAAAGUUUAUGAACUUUUAACUUGUCCCUUACUAUGCCAAAUACAGAGAAAUUGAGGCAUAAACAGAGAAUUAUUUUUCUCUCCAUUUCUUUCAGCCUUGUAAAAACCCUGUCUUAAAUUUAAAAGCUGACUCCCCCCUAUCCCCCUCCCCAUCUUCCCCACAGCAUUUCUAUGAAAUGUUUGUGUCAUUGUGAGUUUAAAGACUAGGGAAGUGCAAUGAGUGGUAAAAAAUGGCAACAAGAAAAGAUUUUGGUUACUUUUAUGAAAAUUAAAUAUUUCUUACCUUUCCUUUUUUUCUUCAUCUUCUCUUAGGCCACCACUAAGUUUUAAUUUAGAGGGCAUCCCCUAUUCUGCUUUUGUCUACAUGAAAAGCAUUUUUUGCUGCUGAAAAUAGCUCCUGUGAAAAUAGAAGCGGAAUCGGCAAAAUUGUUCCUAAAAUCACUUACACUUUUACUUUCAUUCUUUCACUUGGUUGAAUUAAUACAGAAAACACUUGUGUGAAAAGACAAAUGUUGUGCUAAAAGUAUGUGAAAUCUGAGCAAAACAGGAAAGGCUAAUAACCUUGCCCUUGAGGUUUUUUAGCAGUUUCAUGAGAUAGGCAUGAAUGUACUUACAGCUGCACAUCUUGAUACUGGAGAGGAUAUUCAUGAAGCCAAAGCUGUGAUUAUCAUCUCUGUGCAUAAGACUUCCAGACUCACUUCUCCACUCUCUCUGCUCAGUUUUGCAUCUUGAGCUGCCUUUCUGACAUAUCAAGCAAGACAUACCAAAUCAUCAAUAUUUUUGUAUUCUGUAUAGCAUGGGGAACAAUUUUAAAUGCUCAAAUGAUAAUAGUAAUGUUGAUCUUGCUUUAACAUCUCUUGUUUAGAACAUUUUCACUGAUCUCAGUACUUAAGUUUUUUCAGGUGAUUAAGAAAAACUGUGGAUAUAACAAUAUUCACAGAUAUUGACUUUUAUUUUCCUCCGCCGUCCAGCAACUUUAUAUUAAUAUCCAGCACAUCUAUAACAUCAAAUGAGUUAUUGUUGCUGUCCUCCUUUCCCAUACUGUCCAAUGUCUAUCAACAUUAGUCAGUAAGAGGAUGACAACAAUAUGGAAAUAUUAUACAGCUGAGGUAUCAAACUUGCCGCAGGCCCUUGGU